Molecule: transfer RNA, 71 nt
Filed under: Felis catus (domestic cat)
Lineage: Eukaryota; Metazoa; Chordata; Mammalia; Carnivora; Felidae
Also listed under: 2 other names
Description: tRNA-Arg (TCG) (tRNA-Arg-TCG-27-1)
Rfam family: tRNA
About the family: Transfer RNA (tRNA) molecules are approximately 80 nucleotides in length. Their secondary structure includes four short double-helical elements and three loops (D, anti-codon, and T loops).
Source: Rfam by way of RNAcentral
ACCUGGCUGGCUCAGUUGGAAGAGCGUGAGACUCGAUCUCGGGGCCAUGGGUUCAAGCCCCACACUGGGUG